GCAUCCUUAGCUCAGUUGGAUAGAGCAACAACCUUCGAAGUUGAUGGUCACAGGUUCAAAUCCUGUAGAAUGCG
Molecule: transfer RNA, 74 nt
Filed under: Ptilidium ciliare
Lineage: Eukaryota; Viridiplantae; Streptophyta; Jungermanniopsida; Ptilidiales; Ptilidiaceae
Description: tRNA-Arg
Rfam family: tRNA
About the family: Transfer RNA (tRNA) molecules are approximately 80 nucleotides in length. Their secondary structure includes four short double-helical elements and three loops (D, anti-codon, and T loops).
Source: RNAcentral